AUUUGGUAAUACGUGUUGUUGAAUAUAACAAAAAGUUUGAUUCCCCAUUUUCACUAGAAAACAAUCAAAGAUAUCAAUUGUUUGCUAGUACUUGUGGCAUUCUAGCAUUAUCAGAAGGCAUAUUUCCUGCUUUCUAUUAGCUCACUAAAAUUGAUUAGCAGAGAAAAUCCCACAAAAACCCAAUAAAUUCAGUUGGUAUAUUAUGGGAACUCAAAUAUCUUUUAAAUCUUGAGCUAUUUACUGCUUAAUGUUCCCAAUUGAGCAAUACUAUUGGCAUAGGGAUGCCCUCUACUCUGAGAAAUAUUGUAUUGAUUCAUGAAAGAAGAGAAUGCAUCAUUACAUUGAGGUUAAUCAUCACUUAAUCUGAUAAUCAAAAGUGCAUUAGGAUUUGAAUUUUCCUGAAGGGAGGUUUUUUGUGUCUGCCACAUAUGCAUUAGUAAAACUAUCAACUGCCUCUGUGCUUGAGGCAUUUAUUUGGAAACUACUAAUGCUCGGAGUUUGAAAUUUUG
This 509-nucleotide unclassified non-coding RNA is filed under the name Hevea brasiliensis (rubber tree). The record is from RNAcentral. Lineage: Eukaryota; Viridiplantae; Streptophyta; Magnoliopsida; Malpighiales; Euphorbiaceae.